AAUAACGUGUAGAAAUUAGGUGCUUUUUUACGUUUGUAUAAAAGCUUAAAAGGGAAGUUCGGUGAAAAACCGACGCUGUCCCGCAACUGUAAAUGGGAGUACUCUUUUCAAAUCCACUGUUCGUUACGAAUGGGAAGGGAAAAGAACGCGAUGAUCAUGAGCCAGGAGACCUGCCUAUUUCAGUACACACCA
This 192-nucleotide non-coding RNA is filed under the name Sporosarcina psychrophila. Lineage: Bacteria; Bacillati; Bacillota; Bacilli; Caryophanales; Caryophanaceae. The record is from RNAcentral.